RNAcentral lists this ribosomal RNA (403 nucleotides) under uncultured bacterium. RNAcentral describes it as "bacterial SSU rRNA". It matches the Rfam family "Bacterial small subunit ribosomal RNA", at positions 356 to 773 of the family's 1533-position model. The record is from RNAcentral.
GGGGAAUAUUGGGCAAUGGGCGCAAGCCUGACCCAGCAACGCCGCGUGAAGGAAGAAGGCUUUCGGGUUGUAAACUUCUUUUAUGAGGGACGAAACAAAUGACGGUACCUCAUGAAUAAGCCACGGCUAACUACGUGCCAGCAGCCGCGGUAAUACGUAGGUGGCAAGCGUUAUCCGGAUUUACUGGGUGUAAAGGGCGUGUAGGCGGGACUGCAAGUCAGAUGUGAAAUUCCAGGGCUCAACCCUGGACCUGCAUUUGAAACUGUGGUUCUUGAGUGAUGGAGAGGCAGGCGGAAUUCCCUGUGUAGCGGUGAAAUGCGUAGAUAUAGGGAGGAACACCAGUGGCGAAGGCGGCCUGCUGGACAUUAACUGACGCUGAGGCGCGAAAGCGUGGGGAGCAAAC